AUUGAACGCUGGCGGCAUGCCUUACACAUGCAAGUCGAACGGUAACAGGUCUUCGGAUGCUGACGAGUGGCGAACGGGUGAGUAGUACAUCGGAACGUGCCUAGUAGUGGGGGAUAACUACUCGAAAGAGUGGCUAAUACCGCAUGAGAUCUACGGGUGAAAGCAGGGGAUCGCAAGACCUUGUGCUACUAGAGCGGCCGAUGGCAGAUUAGGUAGUUGGUGGGAUAAAAGCUUACCAAGCCGACGAUCUGUAGCUGGUCUGAGAGGACGAUCAGCCACACUGGGACGGAGACACGGCCCAGACUCCUACGGGAGGCAGCAGUGGGAAAUUUUGGACAAUGGGCGCAAGCCUGAUCCAGCAAUGCCGCGUGCAGGAUGAAGGCCUUCGGGUUGUAAACUGCUUUUGUACGGAACGAAAAGCCCUGGGUUAAUACCCUGGGGUCAUGACGGUACCGUAAGAAUAAGCACCGGCUAACUACGUGCCAGCCGCCGCCGUAA
RNAcentral lists this ribosomal RNA (498 nucleotides) under uncultured bacterium. Its description in RNAcentral is "partial 16S ribosomal RNA". It matches the Rfam family "Bacterial small subunit ribosomal RNA", at positions 30 to 523 of the family's 1533-position model. The record is from RNAcentral.